GAUCCUGGCUCAGGACGAACGCUGGCGGCGUGCUUAACACAUGCAAGUCGAACGGAGCACCCUUGACUGAGGUUUCGGCCAAAUGAUAGGAAUGCUUAGUGGCGGACUGGUGAGUAACGCGUGAGGAACCUACCUUCCAGAGGGGGACAACAGUUGGAAACGACUGCUAAUACCGCAUGACGCAUGACCGGGGCAUCCCGGGCAUGUCAAAGAUUUUAUCGCUGGAAGGUGGCCUCGCGU
Molecule: ribosomal RNA, 240 nt
Filed under: uncultured bacterium
Lineage: Bacteria
Description: partial 16S ribosomal RNA
Rfam family: Bacterial small subunit ribosomal RNA
Source: RNAcentral